UACGGAGGGAGCAAGCGUUACUCGGAAUUAUUGGGCGUAAAGGGCGCGUAGGCGAUCUGAAAAGUUCUGUGUGAAAGCCCACAUGUUAACUGUGGAAGUGCACAGAAAACUGUUGGAUUUGAGUUCAGGAGAGGAAGGCAGAAUUCCCGGUGUAGCGGUGAAAUGCGUAGAGAUCGGGAGGAAUACCAGUGGCGAAGGCGGCCUUCUGGACUGACACUGACGCUGAGGCGCGAAAGCCAGGGGAGCAAAC
RNAcentral lists this ribosomal RNA (250 nucleotides) under uncultured bacterium. RNAcentral's name for it is "partial 16S ribosomal RNA". It matches the Rfam family "Bacterial small subunit ribosomal RNA", at positions 524 to 773 of the family's 1533-position model. The record is from RNAcentral.